RNAcentral lists this ribosomal RNA (238 nucleotides) under uncultured bacterium. RNAcentral describes it as "partial 16S ribosomal RNA". It matches the Rfam family "Bacterial small subunit ribosomal RNA", at positions 96 to 334 of the family's 1533-position model. The record is from RNAcentral.
UGGCGGACGGGUGAGUAACGCGUGGGUAACCUGCCUUGUACUGGGGGACAACAGUUAGAAAUGACUGCUAAUACCGCAUAAGACCACAGCACCGCAUGGUGUAGGGGUAAAAACUCCGGUGGUAUGAGAUGGACCCGCGUCUGAUUAGGUAGUUGGUGGGGUAACGGCCUACCAAGCCGACGAUCAGUAGCCGACCUGAGAGGGUGACCGGCCACAUUGGGACUGAGACACGGCCCAA